RNAcentral lists this ribosomal RNA (460 nucleotides) under uncultured bacterium. Its description in RNAcentral is "partial 16S ribosomal RNA". It matches the Rfam family "Bacterial small subunit ribosomal RNA", at positions 338 to 795 of the family's 1533-position model. The record is from RNAcentral.
CCUACGGGUGGCAGCAGUGAGGAAUAUUGGGCAAUGGACGAGAGUCUGAACCAGCCAAGUAGCGUGAAGGAUGAAUGCCCUCGGGGUUUUAAACUUCUUUUAUAUGGGAGUAAAAUGUUCCACGUGUGGGGUUUUGUAUGUACCUUAUGAAUAAGGAUCGGCGAACUCCGUACCAGCAGCCGCGGUAAUACGGAGGAUCCGAGGGUUGUCCGGAUUUAUUGGGUUUAAGGGUAGCGUAGGUGGAUUGUUAAGUCAGUUGUGAAAGUUUGCGGCUUAACCGUAAAACUGCAGUUGAAACUGGCAGUCUUGAGUACAGUAGAGGUGGGCGGAAUUCGUGGUGUAGCGGUGAAAUGCUUAGAUAUUACGAAGAACUCCGAUUGCGAAGGCAGCUCACUGGACUGCAACUGACACUGAGGCUCGAAAGUGUGGGUAUCAAACAGGAUUAGAUACCCUGGUAGUC